GCACUACUGAGGAGUCCUACACCAGGACGAAACGGUCGUCCAGUGC
This 46-nucleotide non-coding RNA is filed under the name Schistosoma mattheei. The record is from RNAcentral. Lineage: Eukaryota; Metazoa; Platyhelminthes; Trematoda; Strigeidida; Schistosomatidae.